RNAcentral lists this ribosomal RNA (464 nucleotides) under uncultured bacterium. Its description in RNAcentral is "bacterial SSU rRNA". It matches the Rfam family "Bacterial small subunit ribosomal RNA", at positions 330 to 792 of the family's 1533-position model. The record is from RNAcentral.
UCCAGACUCCUACGGGAGGCAGCAGUGAGGAAUAUUGGUCAAUGGCCGAGAGGCUGAACCAGCCAAGUCGCGUGAGGGAAGAAUGUCCUAUGGAUUGUAAACCUCUUUUGUCAGGGAGCAAAGUCACCCACGUGUGGGUGUUGGAGAGUACCUGAAGAAAAAGCAUCGGCUAACUCCGUGCCAGCAGCCGCGGUAAUACGGAGGAUGCGAGCGUUAUCCGGAUUUAUUGGGUUUAAAGGGUGCGCAGGCGGCUUGUAAAGUAGGGGGAAAAGGCCGGGGGCCCACCCCCGGCGAGCCGUUGAAACUGGCGGGCUGGAGUUGGAGAGAAGUACGCGGAAUGCGCGGUGUAGCGGUGAAAUGCUUAGAUAUCGCGCAGAACUCCGAUUGCGAAGGCAGCAUGCCGGCUCCACACUGACGCUGAGGCACGAAAGCGUGGGUAUCGAACAGGAUUAGAUACCCGCGUA